This 467-nucleotide ribosomal RNA is filed under the name uncultured bacterium. RNAcentral's name for it is "bacterial SSU rRNA". It matches the Rfam family "Bacterial small subunit ribosomal RNA", at positions 28 to 507 of the family's 1533-position model. The record is from RNAcentral.
GAUGAACGCUGGCGGCGUGCCUAAUACAUGCAAGUCGAACGGGAGACCUCAUUUCGAUGGGGUUGAGAGUGGCGCACGGGUGAGGAACACAUGGCUGACCUGCCCUUCAGAGGGGGAUAACGGCUGGAAACGGCUGCUAAUACCCCAUACGCUCCUUGGGAUUAGAGGCCUGAGGAGGAAAGCCUUCGGGUGCUGAAGGAGGGGGCUGUGGCCCAUCAGCUUGUUGGUAGGGUAACGGCCUACCAAGGCGACGACGGGUAGGGGGCCUGAGAGGGUGACCCCCCACACUGGGACUGAGACACGGCCCAGACUCCUACGGGAGGCAGCAGUUGGGAAUCUUAGGCAAUGGACGAAAGUCUGACCUAGCGACGCCGCGUGAGGGAAGAAGGCCUUCGGGUUGUAAACCUCUGUCAUGGGGGAAGAAGUAAGUGACGGUACCCCAAGAGGAAGCCCCUGCUAACUACGUG